UACGAAGGGGGCUAGCGUUGUUCGGAAUUACUGGGCGUAAAGCGCACGUAGGCGGGUUUUUAAGGCAGGGGUGAAAUCCCAGAGCUCAACUCUGGAACUGCCUUUGAUACUGGGUACCUAGAGUGUGGAAGAGGUGAGUGGAAUUCCGAGUGUAGAGGUGAAAUUCGUAGAUAUUCGGAGGAACACCAGUGGCGAAGGCGGCUCACUGGUCCACUACUGACGCUGAGGUGCGAAAGCGUGGGGAGCAAACAGG
Molecule: ribosomal RNA, 253 nt
Filed under: uncultured bacterium
Lineage: Bacteria
Description: partial 16S ribosomal RNA
Rfam family: Bacterial small subunit ribosomal RNA
Source: RNAcentral